UACGUAGGGUGCAAGCGUUGUCCGGAAUUAUUGGGCGUAAAGAGCUCGUAGGCGGUCUGUUGCGUCGGCUGUGAAAACCCGGGGCUCAACUCCGGGCCUGCAGCCGAUACGGGCAGACUAGAGUUCGGCAGGGGAGACUGGAAUUCCUGGUGUAGCGGUGAAAUGCGCAGAUAUCAGGAGGAACACCGGUGGCGAAGGCGGGUCUCUGGGCCGAUACUGACGCUGAGGAGCGAAAGCAUGGGGAGCGAACAGG
This 253-nucleotide ribosomal RNA is filed under the name uncultured bacterium. RNAcentral's name for it is "partial 16S ribosomal RNA". It matches the Rfam family "Bacterial small subunit ribosomal RNA", at positions 524 to 776 of the family's 1533-position model. The record is from RNAcentral.